This 1413-nucleotide ribosomal RNA is filed under the name Klebsiella variicola. RNAcentral describes it as "bacterial SSU rRNA". It matches the Rfam family "Bacterial small subunit ribosomal RNA". Lineage: Bacteria; Pseudomonadati; Pseudomonadota; Gammaproteobacteria; Enterobacterales; Enterobacteriaceae. The record is from RNAcentral.
ACAUGCAAGUCGAGCGGUAGCACAGAGAGCUUGCUCUCGGGUGACGAGCGGCGGACGGGUGAGUAAUGUCUGGGAAACUGCCUGAUGGAGGGGGAUAACUACUGGAAACGGUAGCUAAUACCGCAUAACGUCGCAAGACCAAAGUGGGGGACCUUCGGGCCUCAUGCCAUCAGAUGUGCCCAGAUGGGAUUAGCUGGUAGGUGGGGUAACGGCUCACCUAGGCGACGAUCCCUAGCUGGUCUGAGAGGAUGACCAGCCACACUGGAACUGAGACACGGUCCAGACUCCUACGGGAGGCAGCAGUGGGGAAUAUUGCACAAUGGGCGCAAGCCUGAUGCAGCCAUGCCGCGUGUGUGAAGAAGGCCUUCGGGUUGUAAAGCACUUUCAGCGGGGAGGAAGGCGGUGAGGUUAAUAACCUCAUCGAUUGACGUUACCCGCAGAAGAAGCACCGGCUAACUCCGUGCCAGCAGCCGCGGUAAUACGGAGGGUGCAAGCGUUAAUCGGAAUUACUGGGCGUAAAGCGCACGCAGGCGGUCUGUCAAGUCGGAUGUGAAAUCCCCGGGCUCAACCUGGGAACUGCAUUCGAAACUGGCAGGCUAGAGUCUUGUAGAGGGGGGGUAGAAUUCCAGGUGUAGCGGUGAAAUGCGUAGAGAUCUGGAGGAAUACCGGUGGCGAAGGCGGCCCCCUGGACAAAGACUGACGCUCAGGUGCGAAAGCGUGGGGAGCAAACAGGAUUAGAUACCCUGGUAGUCCACGCUGUAAACGAUGUCGAUUUGGAGGUUGUGCCCUUGAGGCGUGGCUUCCGGAGCUAACGCGUUAAAUCGACCGCCUGGGGAGUACGGCCGCAAGGUUAAAACUCAAAUGAAUUGACGGGGGCCCGCACAAGCGGUGGAGCAUGUGGUUUAAUUCGAUGCAACGCGAAGAACCUUACCUGGUCUUGACAUCCACAGAACUUUCCAGAGAUGGAUUGGUGCCUUCGGGAACUGUGAGACAGGUGCUGCAUGGCUGUCGUCAGCUCGUGUUGUGAAAUGUUGGGUUAAGUCCCGCAACGAGCGCAACCCUUAUCCUUUGUUGCCAGCGGUUAGGCCGGGAACUCAAAGGAGACUGCCAGUGAUAAACUGGAGGAAGGUGGGGAUGACGUCAAGUCAUCAUGGCCCUUACGACCAGGGCUACACACGUGCUACAAUGGCAUAUACAAAGAGAAGCGACCUCGCGAGAGCAAGCGGACCUCAUAAAGUAUGUCGUAGUCCGGAUUGGAGUCUGCAACUCGACUCCAUGAAGUCGGAAUCGCUAGUAAUCGUAGAUCAGAAUGCUACGGUGAAUACGUUCCCGGGCCUUGUACACACCGCCCGUCACACCAUGGGAGUGGGUUGCAAAAGAAGUAGGUAGCUUAACCUUCGGGAGGGCGCUUAC